AAAAAAAAUCAAACAGUAUACUUCCAGGAACCCAUGCCAAUAAAGCUUCUUUUGUUGGGAAUUUUUCUGACGUGGUAAAUGAAUGGACAAAUAAAUUUGCAACAGGAAAAAAUUGACACUUAAGUGUCGAAAAUAAUGGACAAAUUCGACACUUAAGUGUUGAAAUAUGACUUAUAUAAUAAUUGAUAUUAUAUAUUUUCGACGGGUAACUGUCGAAUUUCACCACUAUUUUCGACACGUAAGGGUCGAAAAUGAGGAUAAAUUCGACAGUUACCCGUCGAAAAGAUAUAAUAUCAAUUAUUAUGUGUUUCGACACAUACAUGUCGAAAAAUAAGCACACUUUCGACCUGUAUGUGUCGAUAUUUUAUGGCGGAUUUUAAAAAAUAAAAUAAAAUCAAAAUCGACGUUUUAGCUUAAAAAAUACAUGGAUAUAUAUCUUAAUGGGUUCUCCUUGCUCGUAAGCUACCAUUCUAUUGUCAUUUGACGUCAUUUUGCAAGUUGUGUAAGGUUUUGAUUUCUUUAGUUUUGAGGUUUUUUAGGAGGGUUUUUGGGGGAGGGAGAAAGAGGUGGAGGAGGUGAGGGGUUUGUGAGUGAGGAGGGAAAUAGAUUUUGAGGGGUUUUGAUUAUUUGGUAUUGAAGAAAGAAAAAUAAUAUUUGUAAUAUUUUUUUGAUUUUUAUUUUCAUUAUGGGUAUUAAAAUAAUUUACUAUUAAUUAUUUAUUUUUUUAUUUGUUCGGUAUUUUUUUCUUUUUUUGAGGAUAUUUGUUCGGUAUUCAACUAAGCAAAAGUUGGGAUUCGUUAUAGUUAUCCCCUAAUAAAAUAUGUUGUUAUUCAAUCUUAAUUAUCGGGCAACUUAACUGCUCUAGUUAGACUUAGGAUUAGGAAUGUAGAAAUUGGCAUAAAUUAAGCCGCGUGGUAAAUUUUCUUUUGUUUAUUUUCUUUUCGUUUCAUUUCCAUAAAAAAAUAUUAUAUUUAAAAAAUAAGUUGGGUUUUUUUUAUAUAAAAGCCAACAUAAGUGUCAAACAAGAGAAUAAUAUUAUUUAUUUUAUUUUCACGAUUAAACAAUUAUUCUCUGUUAUAUUAUUUAUUUUAUUUAUCUAUACUUGAUUAUCAACUUUAGGGUAAUUUCAUAGUAAUUAUGUAAUAAUUAAAUAAA
Non-coding RNA from Erythranthe guttata (spotted monkey flower), 1155 nucleotides. NCBI's taxonomy places the organism in Eukaryota, Viridiplantae, Streptophyta, Magnoliopsida, Lamiales, Phrymaceae. The record is from RefSeq and is a predicted model, not a curated record.